This 343-nucleotide long non-coding RNA is filed under the name Nicotiana benthamiana. RNAcentral's name for it is "long non-coding RNA (NBEN_LNC019422)". The record is from RNAcentral. Lineage: Eukaryota; Viridiplantae; Streptophyta; Magnoliopsida; Solanales; Solanaceae.
UUUCCUCCGUUGCAAUACAGAUGCUGCAAUUGCAUAAAGCAAAAGAUCAUCUGUUGGUGGGGCACGCAGCCUAAUCCUACUCCAGGCAGACUUCCCAAUCCCGGCCCUAAUAGCCGCUUGGUCUGCCCACAUUACUUCCCAUAUGCAAAGUGUUUGCUCAAAAGUUAAUUCCCUCCUGAAAAUCACUACAACAAUUGGUUUAUCCCACAUUACUUCCCAUAUGCAAAGUGUUUGCUCAAAAGUUAAUUCCCUCCUGAAAAGCACUACCACCAUCCUGUACACAAAAAAGCAAUCCUCUGCUUGGAGCUUCUCCAGGUGUCGAUAGAGAUGCGAAUCCUUGUGC